Molecule: long non-coding RNA, 842 nt
Filed under: Nothobranchius furzeri (turquoise killifish)
Lineage: Eukaryota; Metazoa; Chordata; Actinopteri; Cyprinodontiformes; Nothobranchiidae
Description: lncRNA (ENSNFUG00015011124.1)
Source: RNAcentral
UGUGUGUGUGUGUGUGUGUGUGUGUGUGUGUGUGUGUGUGUGUGUGUGUGUAUGUGUGUGUGUGUGUGUGUGUGUGUGUGUGUAUGCAGGCAGAGGCAUGGAUCAAGAGCAAACUCCAGGAUCUAAAGGAUGGCUGUAACACUAAGUGCUGCCCCCUGCAGGACUGGGACGAGGCCUCUCAGACACUUCAAAGGGACCUGAAAGACUUUGAGAACACGUUUAUUCAGCUCAACCAGAUGGGCGAGCAGCUGAUCUGCAGGCUGAACCCCACAUCUGACCUUGUGAAGAAGCAGCUCAGCCAGCUCAAGGACCAAUGGCAGACCCUGAAACAGACGGCCACCAAUCAGACGCGUGCUUUAGGUGGAGCAAAGAGUCUGCGGGAUUUCAACAGAAAAGCGGAUAAGCUGGAGGCCUGGGUCAAAGAAAAGGAAGAGGAGCAGUCUCUGGUGAGUGUCCUGGGAGAAAACGUGGACAAGAUGCAGCUGACCAGGAAGAUCCUGGAUCUUAAACAGGACGAGCAGCUACACAGGAACCUGCACGAGGAGAUCAACAGCUUGGCUCUAAAACUGGAGAAACAAGGAAAGGCAGAGGGCAGAAACACCUCGAGCAGGAGGAAACACAUCAACAAGAUGUGGCUUCGGGUCCAGUCCAGGCUGAAAAACUACCACGAAACUCUUCAGCAGGCUCUUGAGGUGUCAUCGUUUUACCAGCAGGCAGAUAAUACCUUGGAGAUUAUUAAUAAAUUGCUGAAGAACAUUUCUGCAUCCAAAGAGCCGGAUGGCUUCGGGGACAGAGAUAUACGCGACGUCGCCAGUCAGAUCAUGGUAAGAAUCAUCUUUUAA